RNAcentral lists this unclassified non-coding RNA (400 nucleotides) under uncultured fungus. Its description in RNAcentral is "sequence contains ITS1". The record is from RNAcentral. Lineage: Eukaryota; Fungi.
AAACGUCAUCCCCACCUUCCUCCGGUUUGUCACCGGCAGUCUCCCUAGAGUUCUCAGCCGAACUGCUAGCAACUAGGGAUAGGGGUUGCGCUCGUUACGGGACUUAACCCAACAUCUCACGACACGAGCUGACGACGGCCAUGCAGCACCUGUCUUACAGUUCCCGAAGGCACCAAUCCAUCUCUGGAAAGUUCUGUAGAUGUCAAGGCCAGGUAAGGUUCUUCGCGUUGCGUCGAAUUAAACCACAUGCUCCACCGCUUGUGCGGGCCCCCGUCAAUUCAUUUGAGUUUCAGCCUUGCGGCCGUACUCCCCAGGCGGGGCACUUAAUGCGUUAGCUCCGACACCGAAUGCGUCUAUACACCCGGCAUCUAGUGCCCAUCGUUUACGGCGUGGACUACCA